RNAcentral lists this transfer RNA (73 nucleotides) under Thermoleophilaceae bacterium. RNAcentral describes it as "tRNA-Arg". It matches the Rfam family "tRNA". From Rfam's summary of the family: Transfer RNA (tRNA) molecules are approximately 80 nucleotides in length. Their secondary structure includes four short double-helical elements and three loops (D, anti-codon, and T loops). Further hydrogen bonds mediate the characteristic L-shaped molecular structure. tRNAs have two regions of fundamental functional importance: the anti-codon, which is responsible for specific mRNA codon recognition, and the 3' end, to which the tRNAs corresponding amino acid is attached (by aminoacyl-tRNA synthetases). tRNAs cope with the degeneracy of the genetic code in two manners: having more than one tRNA (with a specific anti-codon) for a particular amino acid; and 'wobble' base-pairing, i.e. permitting non-standard base-pairing at the 3rd anti-codon position. RNAcentral also lists the same sequence under 2 other names. Lineage: Bacteria; Bacillati; Actinomycetota; Thermoleophilia; Thermoleophilales; Thermoleophilaceae. The record is from RNAcentral.
GCGCCCGUAGCUCAGUGGAUAGAGCGCUGCCCUCCGGAGGCAGAAGUCGCUGGUUCGAAUCCAGCCGGGCGCG